Molecule: long non-coding RNA, 1387 nt
Organism: Ictalurus punctatus (channel catfish)
Lineage: Eukaryota; Metazoa; Chordata; Actinopteri; Siluriformes; Ictaluridae
Source: Ensembl
AUUUCAAAUUAGUUAAACAUUUGAAGUGUUUGGCUCUUCGGCUUGAGAUCCUCCUUAAAUCACAUUUAAUUUCCCAUCAUUUGAUAGCUUUGGUUUCAGCUUUUCUUGGGUGUAGGUCAGCGUUGUGUUCAGCCUGUCACGUCUGUUCUGGAUCACGGUGGACGUCCCCUCUGUGUCCGAGGCUGGACUUUUAGUGCUAGCAGCAGCAUGGGAUUGGAGCAGAACUAUAGAGUGAAGGGGAAGGACUAUCUCUACUGACCCACUGUGGAACGUUGUUGUUGUUGUUGUUGUUGUUGUUGUUGUUGUGAAUAUCGAUGGUUUCAAUGCCAGAAUUCAUGGUGGUGAUGGAGGGAGAUCCAUCCAAAUCUGAGUUCGGAGUACAGCAACACUACUUUACCGUGCCGCUUCACUUUCCGGAGUCCACAGCGUGUCUGUACUUAAGCCUAAUAGCCUUCAGUUUUGUUGAUGAUAUUACUUUUGUGAGAUCCUCACUGUGUGGGUAAGCCGCAUCAGCAGAAGGAUAGUGCUCCUGGAAUCGGUGCAAUAUUUCACCGAAUUUGUUUUGGCACGAUUCCCAGUCUACAUUUUCACCUGCCUUUGGAACUUUAUAGUCUUGGGUUACUUACAGCAACAACUCCUCCUCUUCAUCAGUCGACGCCCUGGUGUCGCAUCGAUUCAAAGAAACAGAAAACUGCACACUUCUGUUCCUCAGAGAUGGAGGAAAAUCAGGAAGCUGCUGAAACUCACCUGUUCUGGUAAGAGUCACUUUUAUUCCCUUACUUUCAUUAUGUUAAUGAUCGAAGGAGUUUAAAGGUAAACAGUUCACGUUUGUGUCUGUAAAUUUAGAUAUUUAGAUUUUAUUCACGUGCUUUAAAUGUCACAUGAUGCUAAAUUGUGGCAUGAAAUCAUGUUGUGCGUGUCUUAUUAUUUUUAUUUGUGUUAUUUUGAAUCCUCGAAUUUCUGCUCUCGGUUAAAUAAAACUUGCUCGCGAGAGACUCUAUGUUGCACACGUAUUGUCAACGUUUUUAUCUUUCUUAUCCAAAACCAGAGACUGAACCCCACUUAAAUAAAUCAUGCACAUUUUCUUUAGACAAGAAAACAAACAACGCACCAAGAACUUCUGUAGAACAUGACUGUUUCGAAAAACAAAGGGGUUAAGCUGUGGCCUUGGCAGACGUUUAUUAAUUCACUGAGAAAACAUGUUUGGAAAACGGACUUCCGGGUCAGAAUGUUUGUGUGUGAUCGGACACGCCUCUUGUCAGUCAUUUUAUAGACACCAUACAAUACAGGCCACUGUAGAUCCUGGUAGGCGGAGCUUUGUAAACAUGGGCGGGAUUCAUUCAAAUGUUAAAUCCACUUAACCAUUAGACCUAAUUCUGAAAAAGUG